CACCAGUUGACCUUGGCUAACUGAAACUGUGGACAGGGAAACCUUGAAUAAAGGAAGUUCAAAAUAUACAUUGGAUGUUCAUCAAUCAAUGAUUGUUACAGUUUUACUUGGAUUCAUAAAACAGGACGUUUUCUUUCAGAAGAAAGAAGAGGUGAUGGCUACAAACUGGGGCAGAGAGAAAUUGAAGGCAGCAGGAAGACAAUAAGCAGAAGGAGCAGAAAGAAAGCUUUCUAUGUUCCUGUAGAACUCUCCCAGGUUGCCCUGGGGUGAAAUUGGAAGAAUUUCCACCAAACUUAAGAUCCAGUGCCUAACUUUGUAAUGUAUCAACAACAAAAAAAUACUUCAGUAAAUUGUCAAUCUGACCUUCAUCUCAGGCAGGGAGCUUGCCAAAUGAGAAAAGUGUAUGCAUGGUACUUGAUUUCCGUAUUUCCUGGCAUUCCUUCCGGAGACUACUAUUCAUGAGGACUAUAGCAGUCCAAGAAGAUUCCAUCCAUCUGUCUCCUGGCUGCAGGUUACAGGAGUGAGAGAGGCAGAGACACAGGCAGAGGGAGAAGCAGGCUCCAUGCACC
Long non-coding RNA from Canis lupus familiaris (dog), 569 nucleotides. RefSeq lists it as uncharacterized. The record is from RefSeq and is a predicted model, not a curated record. The transcript is spliced from 6 exons. Lineage: Eukaryota; Metazoa; Chordata; Mammalia; Carnivora; Canidae.